AGAGACCGAUAGCGAACAAGUAUCGUGAGGGAGAGAUGAAAAGAACUUUGAAAAGAGAGUUAAAAAGUACGUGAAAUUGUUGAAAGGGAAACGAUUGAAGUCAGUCAUGCUAGCGAGGAAUCAACUUGGUGGUGUGAGUCUCUCAUCUCCUCCGUGUGCACUUCCUCGUCUGGCAGGUUAGCAUCAAUUUUGAUUGUCAUCAAA
This 204-nucleotide ribosomal RNA is filed under the name uncultured Acaulospora. RNAcentral's name for it is "partial 25S ribosomal RNA". It matches the Rfam family "Eukaryotic large subunit ribosomal RNA", at positions 329 to 522 of the family's 3401-position model. Lineage: Eukaryota; Fungi; Glomeromycota; Glomeromycetes; Diversisporales; Acaulosporaceae. The record is from RNAcentral.